Molecule: ribosomal RNA, 349 nt
Filed under: uncultured bacterium
Lineage: Bacteria
Description: bacterial SSU rRNA
Rfam family: Bacterial small subunit ribosomal RNA
Source: RNAcentral
GUGAGUAGUUCAGAGUUUGAUCCUGGCUCAGGAUGAACGCUAGCGGCAGGCUUAACACAUGCAAGUCGAGGGGCAGCAUGAGACGGAGAUUCGUCAAAGUCUUGAUGGCGACCGGCGCAAGGGUGCGUAACGCGUGAGCAACUUGCCCGUUUCUGGGGAAUAACCGGUGGAAACGCCGACUAAUACCCCAUAGUAUGUCCGAGAGGCAUCUUUUGGACAUUAAAGAAUUUCGGAAACGGAUAGGCUCGCGUGACAUUAGCUAGAUGGCGGGGUAACGGCCCACCAUGGCGACGAUGUCUAGGGGUUCUGAGAGGAAGGUCCCCCACACUGGAACUGAGACACGGUCCAG